UUCAAACCAAAAAUUCAUAACAAGGGUUCAUCACAUUUUAGCAAUACAAAAAAAAAAAAAAAAAAAAAAAAAUUAGCCAAGCAUAUUGUUGGAAUUAAAUAGAUAACAGAUAGAAGACAUCACCAAAAACCGACAAAACGUAAUUAAUUUCCCAAUGCCUUCCAAACUUCCCCUUCAAUCUGCUUCAGUUCCUAAUUAAUUCCAGCCACAAUGCUUGACUUCUCCAAGCUGUUGCCACCUAUUUUCUUUUCUAUUUUCUGCGCUUUUCUUUUAUGUUUUUCUCCAGCCAACUCCCGACUUUAUUUGCAGCAACCAACUGAAAUUUUUUACUCCAAAACAACUCCCCAAAUUAGCCAAAAUUGCUCUCAAUUUCUGCAAUUUUCUCCACAAGCUGUCGCUUUGCAUGUGUAUAGAUAUAUCCUCUCAAUUCUUCAUACAACCGCCGACCAAGCUUAUUUGCACCAGCCGCUGUUUAUGCUUCAAUUUCUGUCCCCCCAACCGUUCGUUUUCUGUUGGCGUUUAUAUAUAAUUUCUACAGCAGCCCACUUUUUUGUAUUCCAAUUCCCAGCAGCUCGACUUUUGUUUUGUGCCCAAUCUAAUAAUG
Molecule: long non-coding RNA, 604 nt
Filed under: Olea europaea subsp. europaea
Lineage: Eukaryota; Viridiplantae; Streptophyta; Magnoliopsida; Lamiales; Oleaceae
Source: RNAcentral